Molecule: ribosomal RNA, 497 nt
Filed under: uncultured bacterium
Lineage: Bacteria
Description: partial 16S ribosomal RNA
Rfam family: Bacterial small subunit ribosomal RNA
Source: RNAcentral
GAUGAACGCUGGCGGCGUGCCUAAUACAUGCAAGUCGAGCGAACAGACGAGGAGCUUGCUCCUCUGACGUUAGCGGCGGACGGGUGAGUAACACGUGGAUAACCUACCUAUAAGACUGGGAUAACUUCGGGAAACCGGAGCUAAUACCGGAUAAUAUAUUGAACCGCAUGGUUCAAUAGGGAAAGACGGUUUUGCUGUCACUUAUAGAUGGAUCCGCGCCGCAUUAGCUAGUUGGUAAGGUAACGGCUUACCAAGGCGACGAUGCGUAGCCGACCUGAGAGGGUGAUCGGCCACACUGGAACUGAGACACGGUCCAGACUCCUACGGGAGGCAGCAGUAGGGAAUCUUCCGCAAUGGGCGAAAGCCUGACGGAGCAACGCCGCGUGAGUGAUGAAGGUCUUCGGAUCGUAAAACUCUGUUAUUAGGGAAGAACAAAUGUGUAAGUAACUAUGCACGUCUUGACGGUACCUAAUCAGAAAGCCACGGCUAACUACGUG